Gasterosteus aculeatus aculeatus (three-spined stickleback) is the source of this 620-nucleotide long non-coding RNA. NCBI's taxonomy places the organism in Eukaryota, Metazoa, Chordata, Actinopteri, Perciformes, Gasterosteidae. The record is from Ensembl.
UGUGAGUCUGCAUGUCUCAGUGAGACACCUGGUGCUUGUAAGCAAUAUUUACUUAACAAUAUUAAGACUUAAAGAUAGAGGGAACUUAAAGCCGAUCGAUGCUACAGCAACUUUGAACAAAACUGAUGAUGACCAGAGGGAUUUUAACUAUUACUGCCAUCAUAUACAUCUGAUAGUUGUUACAUCUGAUGGUUGUUACAUCUGAUGGUUGUUACAUCUGAUGGUUGUUACAUCUGAUGGAGGUUACAUCUGAUGGAGGUUACAUCUGAUGGUUGUUACAUCUGAUGGUUGUUACAUCUGAUGGAGGUUACAUCUGAUGGUUGUUACAUCUGAUGGUUGUUACAUCUGAUGGUGGAAUUUUAAGAUUAUUUUACUUACUUUACUUAUUUAACAAAUUUGACUAUCAUUGAAUGUGCCAUUGACCAUCUUUCAACCUUUAUUUUGUUAAUUUUACAGAAUAAAAAAACAGGUCAGAAAUAUAAUAAUAUAGUGGGAUGAUUGUGAAACGUGCUGUCCUCCAGAGGAUAAACCCCAUGAAGGGUCAGUCAUCAUUUAUCAGUUUAUUCAUGCCUCUGAAUCCAUCUCCUCUCCCUGCCGCUCUCACCUCCUGCUUCUUCUCC